Molecule: ribosomal RNA, 225 nt
Filed under: uncultured Fluviicola sp.
Lineage: Bacteria; Pseudomonadati; Bacteroidota; Flavobacteriia; Flavobacteriales; Crocinitomicaceae
Description: partial 16S ribosomal RNA
Rfam family: Bacterial small subunit ribosomal RNA
Source: RNAcentral
UGCGUAGGCGGUUUAUUAAGUCAGUGGUGAAAGCCUACAGCUCAACUGUAGAACUGCCAUUGAUACUGUAGAUCUUGAAUUCGGUCGAAGUGGGCGGAAUAUGACAUGUAGCGGUGAAAUGCUUAGAUAUGUCAUAGAACACCGAUAGCGAAGGCAGCUCACUAGGCCUGGAUUGACGCUCAGGGACGAAAGCGUGGGGAGCAAACAGGAUUAGAUACCCGCGUA